Long non-coding RNA from Dalotia coriaria, 465 nucleotides. RefSeq lists it as uncharacterized. Lineage: Eukaryota; Metazoa; Arthropoda; Insecta; Coleoptera; Staphylinidae. The transcript has 2 exons. The record is from RefSeq and is a predicted model, not a curated record.
GCAGUUUUGUGUCUGUCGUUGGUUGUGUCGGACGUGUUUCUCGCGGCUGUUAUCGUUUUAUUUUGAAUUUUGAAUUCUGUAAAUCGCGUUCAUUUCGAUCGUCCAUCGCCUGCAUUUAGUUGUUGCUAAUGUGUUUAGUAUUUAUUAGUAGAUAAUCGGAUGUUGAAUAUACAAAAUCAUUAAUUUUCUUUGCGUUCUUUGGGCAUAAAGCAAGAUGGCCGCGUGCUAUUAACUUGUUUUGUAUUGUGAUAUUAUUUCAUUUAAUUGCGGUCUAUCUGUGAUUGUCAUUGUGUGUGGUAUUUUGCCUCGGAAAUAUGGACAAUGUUUUGCGUAGACGCCAAGAAAGCAAGCAAUUGCCUUCGAGUUCCGAUGCCCGAAUCACGAGCUAAAUUAGAAUGCGAAUUUGAUUCGCUUCGUCGGUCGACUCCCGAUUUAAAAUAAAAUAAAUAUUGACACCCCUUCCCG